AUGCCUGGGCCACAGGGUCCUCCUGGAGGUGCUGGUAGACCAGGUGUGUCAAGACCUGGUCUGAGAGGUCCCCCGGGAUUUCCUGGCCCAAAAGGAAAAAAAGGAGAAAAAGGACAAACAGGCUUGUGCAUUGUAGGCCCUCCAGGACUACCUGGGAUUACUGGCAGACCUGGUUCUGUUGGAUUACCAGGUCCUCCAGGAGAACCAGGUAGAGUAAUAUUUAGAACAGGCCCACCAGGACGUCCUGGAGAGCCAGGGUAUGCAGGACCUCCGGGACCUCCAGGAGAUGUUGGCAUGAAAGGUGAUGAAGCUUGCGUGUGUACUGAUUGUAGCUAUGUUCCGGGAACACCUGGUCUUCCUGGUUCGCCUGGGCCACACGGCCAGGAUGGCAUCCCUGGUAAAUUAUAUCAGUAUUUCUAA
This 420-nucleotide long non-coding RNA is filed under the name Cairina moschata (Muscovy duck). RNAcentral's name for it is "domestica (muscovy Duck (domestic type)) lncRNA (ENSCMMG00000005302.1)". The record is from RNAcentral. Lineage: Eukaryota; Metazoa; Chordata; Aves; Anseriformes; Anatidae.